Molecule: long non-coding RNA, 94 nt
Organism: Mustela erminea (ermine)
Lineage: Eukaryota; Metazoa; Chordata; Mammalia; Carnivora; Mustelidae
Exons: 3
Source: RefSeq, a predicted model, not a curated record
UUGAUCCCAGGACCCUGGGAUCAUGACCUGAGCCAAAGGCAGAGGCUUUACCACACUGAGACAUCCAAGCACCCCAAGAUCUUUUUUCUUGAAG